Molecule: transfer RNA, 69 nt
Filed under: Urocitellus parryii (Arctic ground squirrel)
Lineage: Eukaryota; Metazoa; Chordata; Mammalia; Rodentia; Sciuridae
Also listed under: 2 other names
Description: Spermophilus parryii (Arctic ground squirrel) tRNA
Rfam family: tRNA
About the family: Transfer RNA (tRNA) molecules are approximately 80 nucleotides in length. Their secondary structure includes four short double-helical elements and three loops (D, anti-codon, and T loops).
Source: Rfam by way of RNAcentral
GGGGAUGUGGCUCAGUGGUAAAGUACUUGCUCAGCAUGCAUGAGGCCCUGGGUUCAAUCCCCAGUACCA